UACGUAGGGGGCAAGCGUUGUCCGGAUUUAUUGGGCGUAAAGAGCGUGUAGGCGGCCAGACAGGUCCACUGUGAAAACUCGAGGCUCAACCUCGAGAGGUCGGUGGAAACCGUCUGGCUAGAGUCCGGAAGAGGAGAGUGGAAUUCCUGGUGUAGCGGUGAAAUGCGCAGAUAUCAGGAAGAACACCUAUGGCGAAGGCAGCUCUCUGGGACGGUACUGACGCUGAGACGCGAAAGCGUGGGGAGCGAACAGG
RNAcentral lists this ribosomal RNA (253 nucleotides) under uncultured bacterium. RNAcentral's name for it is "partial 16S ribosomal RNA". It matches the Rfam family "Bacterial small subunit ribosomal RNA", at positions 524 to 776 of the family's 1533-position model. The record is from RNAcentral.